Long non-coding RNA from Gasterosteus aculeatus aculeatus (three-spined stickleback), 627 nucleotides. The record is from Ensembl. Lineage: Eukaryota; Metazoa; Chordata; Actinopteri; Perciformes; Gasterosteidae.
GUUCUUAGGGAGCUAAUGAAGAGGAAUGAGGAGCAGGUGUGCGCGUGGGGGAGGCAAUCGGGUGAAGAAAUGGCGCUGGACCCGGUGAGGACAACUGCUGGACUGUGCAGCAAAAAGGUUUUCUGGUAGAACUCAAACAGAAAAAAAAGCUGGCCUUCAUCGUGAGACUGCAUCGAAGCCCCAGAAAGUUUCUCUGGGCACGUUGAACAUCACUUCUCUGGGGAGUACGGACAUGUGAAGGAUGGAGAUGGCAACUGGAUAUAGUGGAGCUCAUUUCUGCACGUAAGGUGCUGAACUGGAACAAAGCUGCUGGAAGUGGAUUGAUGACACUCCAGUACCUCCGUGUCUCCUCUCGUCUUCUCUCUCUGAAGGUCUGAACGCCGACUCACGCUGUUGAUUGCAGAAGAGAUGCACAUCACGUACCAGACUGAAUGCAAUUUUAAAUGUGUCAUAUUUUUUUUACUUCAAAUGGACAAUUCUGGUCCUUUUAUGCAUAUUUACCUGCAAUUUAGUGUCACAUAUUUUUCACCUCUGCAAUUUGCAUUCAUGUUUGAUAUAAUUGCUUGAAGUUGAUGAUUUGAAUUACUACUAAUGGACCCGCAAAAGGAUCUGUACGGUUAAGGAGGU